Molecule: transfer RNA, 64 nt
Filed under: Leptodora kindtii
Lineage: Eukaryota; Metazoa; Arthropoda; Branchiopoda; Diplostraca; Leptodoridae
Description: tRNA-Gly
Source: RNAcentral
AUUUCUUUAGUACAAAGUAUAGCUGACUUCCAAUCAGAAGGACCGUAAAUUUACGGAAGAAAUA